UAAGUAUAGCUUAAAAAAAGCAAUUGAAUGUUAAUCAAAAGAAGAAAUCAAAUUCUAUUUAG
This 62-nucleotide transfer RNA is filed under the name Succinea erythrophana. RNAcentral's name for it is "tRNA-Asn". The record is from RNAcentral. Lineage: Eukaryota; Metazoa; Mollusca; Gastropoda; Stylommatophora; Succineidae.